RNA transcript from Venturia canescens, 4798 nucleotides. It is a transcript of the gene named mitoferrin-1-like, with no coding region annotated. The record is from RefSeq and is a predicted model, not a curated record. The transcript is spliced from 6 exons. Lineage: Eukaryota; Metazoa; Arthropoda; Insecta; Hymenoptera; Ichneumonidae.
UGGAGCGAGCCAUAGUUAGGCCAGUAUCUGCCGGCAGGGGCAGUUGUUUGCGGAUAACCUAGGGGGACGUAGUCGUAUCGUAACCGUUGCCUCAUUACGAAACAAUCAACGAGAACGAUCGCACAUGUCGCGAUUAUAGAAGAAGAGAAUAUACUCGGUGUUGGUUAAGCUGCUGCGAUCUUCUGUCCAGUAAAAUCAUCGAUUCAAACGAUAAAACUGCAUCAUUCCUUCAUACACUUGAAAAUCAGGCUCUGCGGAACACAUUUUCCCGACACCUGUGUGGUGUAUCCGUUUUGUGUGUAUAUAUAAAUGUAAAUAUAUGAACGUAUGCAUGUAUGUAUGUGCGCGUGUUUAUAGACGCGGGUGUGUUCGUACUUUUGCGGUGUGAAAACCGCGUGGUAUACAAUAAUCGGGCAAAACAGCAGAACUUUGUUGCUCCUGCGAACGUGACAAGAGAUUGAAGAUAAAAUAAAAAAAUAGCGGUGUCAAAAAAAGUGGUCGUGUGUAUAUAAGCAGUGAAAUAAAAACAGUUAACGUGUGAUAAUAGUUGCCGAAAACGAAAACGUGGAUUGAAUUAUGAAUCCCGAAGACUAUGAAACAUUGCCGAGUGCAUCGGUCGGCGUACACAUGACUGCAGGUGCUUUUGCCGGAAUUAUGGAACAUUGCGUCAUGUAUCCCCUUGACAGUGUCAAGACAAGAAUGCAAGCGUUGACACCAGGUCCUGGUGGAGGCGGAGGAGUUGGCGCAGUCCUCAGUAGAAUGGUGCGCCAAGAAGGUGUCCUUCGACCUAUUCGUGGUAUUGGUACCAUGGUAACCGGAGCUGGACCGGCUCAUGCCCUGUAUUUUUCCUGUUAUGAAUAUCUCAAGAACAAAAUGAUCAGUACUAAAACACCUUCACAAUUCAAUCAUCUAGUCUAUGGAGCAGCAGGCUGUGUCGCUACUCUGCUUCAUGACGGAGUCAUGAAUCCUGCUGAAGUGGUAAAACAACGGUUGCAGAUGUACAAUUCACCGUACAGAAAUGCUAUAAGUUGUAUAAAGCAUAUAUAUAAAACGGAAGGUGUAUUCGCAUUUUAUCGAAGUUAUACGACACAAUUGGCCAUGAACGUGCCGUUCCAGAGCAUACACUUCAUGGCAUACGAAUUUGGGCAAAAUUGGAUGAAUCCGGAACAUAUAUACAACCCACGAGCGCACAUGAUUUCCGGUGCGAUGGCGGGUGCAGUAGCAGCUGCAAUAACAACACCGUUGGACGUUUGUAAAACUCUUUUAAAUACGCAACAGGAUGGAAAAGUGCAAGGAAUGGUCGAUGCUUUCAAGCAAGUGUACAGGUUCGGGGGCCUUCAAGGCUAUUUUCGUGGUCUAAACGCAAGAAUAAUCUAUCAAAUGCCAGCCACAACGAUCUGUUGGUCAACGUACGAAUUUUUCAAAUACGUGUUACAAGGAAAAUCGGAUGAGACGCGUUUCGGGACAGAAACCGACGACAGUUCCGGUGGUACAACACCACCCUGUUCGCCAAUAGUACCACGAACGAGUAGUUUUCAGGGAGCUGGUCUCUACUUCAACAACAAAGCCCCUGGGCCGGUAUUACUCGACGUAACAAGGAGUUAGGCACGUAUGAAAGAAAAUUAAAAACAAAAAAAUGAACGAAAAUGAGUCGCGCGAUGAUCCGUCACGGACUGCGCUUAUUGAGGCGUCCUGGAAGGAGCCGAUUUUUUUAUAUUUCAAAAGUUUAUUAUUGAUGACCGAAUAUUUUGUUAAAUCGAAUAUGAAAUCGAUCAAUACCGUACAAUAAUUCCUGAUGAGUAAACAAAUUAGAAGAAAAUAAUUGAGAAAACUGAAAAAAUUAAUGAAAAUAAAUAUUCUCAUGCUAGAAAGCAGAAUAAUUUAUUCGUACUGAAAAAAAGAAAAUAAUCUAUCACGAGCGAGCAAAAGAGAAAAAAAAUAAUUAAUACGAACUCAGCGUCCAGUGCAGGACACAGGCAGGUUUGUCAAACGAACGAAACGAUGAAACUUAAUUCGAUUACUUUACCAAGAGACUCACACGUGUCAUCCACGAGAUACAACUUUCAUUAUUUCUUUCUCUCAUUCGUUCUUCGCUCAUUCACCCAUUAGCUUAUUUUAUAACAUCACAGAAUUUUCGUGUAUGAACACGUGUUGCACAAAUAAAAGCGUGAUCUGAUACAUUUAUACAUGUUUCAUUUUCGUCGGAAAUCAAAAUAUCAAAACUGUGUCACACUUUUUCGUCAUUUUCGAAUGAAAGUCGUCUAAAUCUGAGGAAACUUUUGUUGUUCUUACGUUCGCGACAACGGUUUUUCCAUUACGACCUGUUACGACGAUGCUCUGAACUAAUUUGAAUUGAAUUUGAGUUGACAUGAUGAAAAUCUUAAAAUAGAAUGAACCAUGUUGCGUUCGCUAAGACUCACUAAUUUUCACUUGUGAUUUUUGUUUUCUUGUAAAAUCGUUCAAACUUUCACAGCAGCAAUAAUUCAUGGAAAACGCUUCGGCCAUAUGAUUAUUUCUCAUAAAAUUUUAUUUACGAUGAAAUGUAUAAAGCGAUCGUGCUUUUUGUUCAUUUUUUAGACAUCAACACUAGCAACACAGCCACUGAAAUCAUUAGUAAGAAUCAGUAUUCUUGGCGUCAUCAAUAUAGUUGAUUCAUUAAAAAAGAUACUCGUCUUAUAUGCUGUGCCCAUUGAAAGUUUAUUCAUUAUUAAUAACACGUACGUUUCCAGUUUUGAAUUUUAUUUCAUCAGAAUUCCGUUCUUAGCAAUUUUGCGAAAAAUAAAAAAAUUCCAGACAUUUUUGAGACUUUAUGAAUUUUGAAUAAUAUGAACGUUAUACAAUAGCGUCGAAAAGAUAAACAAAAUCAUUAAUCUUCUACCUUCGAUUAAGCAGGAGCCUCCAUUCCAAAAGCAUUGUAUUUAGUCCAUGCCCCAAUAAAAACUUGAGUCGUUCUUUCGAAAUUUUGUAAGAGCCAAGAUAUUAUUCUAGUCGUUUUGAAACUGUUUUAUUAUUGGAUCAACGGGGAAGGACUGCUAAAAAAGUAUUCAUUUAAAUAUUUCAUCGUUGGUACGGCAUCGACGUUUAUAAUAUCCAUUGUUCAUAGUGUCCCGAAGAUGAUUGUUGGAAAAUUUGCCCGAAAGCAACAGAAUUUUUCUUUGGGAAUGAACGAGCAACGCAAAUUUUUCCGACGAAGCUACUCAAAGCAUCAUUUCUACGUGAUACUAUCUCGAGAGUAUUAAGAAUGACGCACGAGACAACGGUAACGUUGGCAGUCAUUUUCACAAUGAUUUGUUGUCGUCUCGGUCCGAGUAGGAGAAUGAUUUUCGAGGAGAAAAAGACGAAUGUCGAACGAGAAAAAUGAUGACUGAAAGAGAAAGAGAAAGAAAUAAAAAUUUCCAAUUCUCGUAAAUCUGAUUGCUUAAAGAAGGUCACGAGUUUGAAGACGAGGGGGGCAUACGAUGCUCCCGAUAUAACAAUGAAAUACACAUGAAUUGUAACGAGUACUCGCCAAGGCGGACGCCAAAGCAGACUAAAUAGUAACAUUGUACAGUAAGAAAAGCGAGAAAAAAAUUAGGUUCGAACGAAGCGGGAGUCGAGUUGGUGGGACGCAUGCAGAUAAAAGUUGCUAAUGAAAUCAUUGAAAUAGAGUAAUCGGCGUUACGAACGAGAGUAUUGUUAAUAUAAACAGUUGUAUCGAUUUUUUCCUCUCUUUCGUUCCUUCGUUUUUGUGUUUUGUUCUCUCGAACCAAUCGACUGUAAGCGAUAUACCAGUUAAAACGAAAUGAAAAAACAAACGUAUAAUAGCUCCAUAGUUUAUGCACUCGAUAGUUAAAUAUUAUUAUUCUAUCGAAUGCUCAUUAAGUGAACCGUUAACGAUCGAUUUCCUUGUGUACAAUAGCGAGAGCGACAAUGAUAUCGAUCACGACGAGACAAACGGUUUCAGAGCUUCGAAAAUUUUUUGUAAAAUUGAAACGAAUAUCGGAAAAGGAGUAAAAACUUCGUCAAUUAGAGUUGUAAAUUGGAUUUUUGUGACGUUGAAGAUAGCAAAGGAGAUACUCCCAAUAUUAUUUAUUAAUUUCUCCAUUUCUCAUCAAAUUUCUUGAGUUGUACCUCAGAAAUAAAAAAAAGUGAUAAAUUCUCGUAGUUUUAAAUGACUGUUGAAAUUUGAAAAUUACUCGAUCAUAAAAUGUUGAAUUUGGUCGUAUCUUCAAUGACCAAAUACCAAAAUAUCGGAUUUUUCUAUCGAAAUUUUGAAAAUAAGUCAAUAAUUAAGAUUAACGAGUAAUUAACGCAUACAAUUUGACGUUUUUCUUUUUCUUCCCUCACACAAUAUUGCUUCCCAUGGCUGCCGAUAGCUGGGCCAAAGUCAUACGAUGUUGAGUUUGAGAGAAGGUGAUAACGGGGUGAUUAUUACCGAACAGUUUUGCUCUUUUUCCCCUCGCAAUGAAUCGCCGGUAAAGCCGUCAACGACAUAUAUAUAUUUUUUUGUUUUUUUCCCUUCAUUGUUAAAUAAUGUAGAUAUAAAUAUAUAAUAUCGCGCGUAUUUUAUAUCCAAAAAAGAAACAGGAAAAUGUUCCAUGUGAGAAAUUAAAUGAACCGUUUGAAUCGUUGAAUAUUUUCCUCUUUAUUCGUUUGAAUCGUUUGAACGAUGUAAAUAGAGCAUGCUCCCACCUUGUAUGAUUAUUAUCUAUAGCAUCGAAAUAUACUGAUGAUAUUGCGGAGCCACGCUACUUUAUGGAUACAGAGCUCAAAGCACUGAAUGUAUUGAUAAUGUAAAUAAAUCAUAAUGCGAGCUACA